AUGGACGGUCUGUUCAGCUUCAGCACCAUAAAGGAGUUCGUGGGGUUUGGGUUCAAGAUCAUCAGCGCGCUGGACAAGGCCAGCCACAACGCGGAGGACUGCCGCACGAUCCACGCCUUCCUGCUCAACCUGAGCGCCAUCGCCGAUCGCCUGCAGGGGCUGCCCAAGAUCAUGGUGGACGACUUGAUGAGGGACACGGCGGAUGGCCUACAGAAGGCCCUCAAGCGCGCGUCCGAGUUUCUCGCCGAGUGCAAGCGCAAGGGGGUCCUGCGCCGUGCUUUUAACGCCAAAGACAUCGCCGAGAAGCUGCGCGGGGUCUGCCUCGAUGUGCUGCUCAACAUGAACGCCGUGCAGCUCAACAUGAACGCCGUGCAUCUUGCCAACGAUGACUUGAACAGCUCGAAGCUGGCCGAGCUUAAGGAAAUUGUGGCCAAGAUUCUGCAUAUUGUUGCUACACAGCCCGCUGUUCAUCUGCAAGAAGAGGUGAAAAAAUUGGUGAAGGACGACCAGAUCAGUUCUCAAAUUAAAAACAAAAGGGAGACAAAGAAAACAGAUGUACCUAGUUCUCAAAACAAAAACAAAGGGGAGGCAAAGGAAACAGAUGUUGCCAGGCCGGACGAUAAGAUUCAGAAUAACAAGAAACUAGGGCGUAGAAGGGUGGUGCCACAUGCUUCAUUACCAGAUGACUUAGCUGAGUCCGCUUCAGCGACCAGUGUGGUUGGACAAGAGGAUGGACCUAGUACUAUUAUUAUCAAUAAGGCAAGUAGCUCUAUCUCCGAGUCGGUGGACGAGGCACAGUCAGUGGGAGUUUCUGCAGCACCAUUCCAUCCGCAGAAAAUAAUCAGCAUAUCCAAGGAACCCGAAGAGACAGGCGGAUAUAAGAUAUACACCUGUUCCUCUGAGACUAGCAAGCUUCUUGAGGUCUACCCGCAGUGGCUUCUCUUCCCCUUGGAGCCAAAAAACAAGGAAACUACUGGAUCUGGAUGCCCAGUGACCCUAACCAACAAUACAAACGAUUACGUUGGCAUCUGGAUUAAACCAAUAAAUGGGAAAUUUAAGGAAACAGAGAUAAUGGAGCCCCAUUCGACUUUGGUUGUGUAUGUGACAAUGAAGAUGCAUGCACAACCUCCCAAAGACAAGGUUGAGUUUGAGGUGCUCAUGAUUAUCCUACGGUCAAAGCAAGACCAUGGAAAAUUGAAGUCAUUCAUUGUUGACAAGCUGAAUAUGGACAGUGGCUUUAUGGUGCAUGUUAAGAACCUUAAGGCAGAGGUGUAUCGGGCAAUGCUGACAGCUAUCACUUGUGACCCAGCAAGCUGCCAGAUCAUAUCAAGAUCAAUAGAGGAUACGACCUUGGUGACAUCCAUUGACGCGCACCCCACUAAGCCAUGGAUUGUGACGGGUCAUGAGGGAGGGAAUUUUUCCAUUUGGGACUACCAGAAGAAGGAAACUGUGAUGAAGUUGCAGGUCAAUGAGGUGCCAGACAAGGUUACACGCAUGAUACAUGGCGUCACUAAAUACAUCAAAGAGACGUCUCUUGGACAUCCGGUUUAUUCAGUCAAAUUUACCGCUGAAGGGAAACGGUUGGUAGUGGGGGAUGGUCGCGGAUACAUCUAUGUCUAUGAUUCCACCGACACUAAGCUGCAUGAGGUCGAGAAAUUCAGAGCUUAUGAUAAGAAAUCCGUGAACUCUCUGGCUGCUCACCCAACAAAGCCAUACCUUCUUCUUUCAUCAUCUUCUUUUAGUAGAAAUAUCAAGCUUUGGGACUCGAGCGAGAACUGGAAAUUUCAAAAUUUCAAAGUGAAACCUGAGAAUACAUAUUACGUUGGUGUGCACAGUGUCAAGUUUAAUCCAAGGGACACCAACACUUUUGCUUGUGUUACCGAUGAGGACAAAGUAAAGGUCUGGAACAUCAAAACUUCCAUUCUUGAAACCACACUGAAGGGGCCUUUCGUCAUGGCCGAUUAUUUCUUCAAUCGCGGUCAUCAGCACUUGAUGGUUACUUUGAAAUUUGACGCACACAACUCCGAGAUAUGGGAUUUGAAGACACGAAAAGUUGUUCACACUCUUAGCGUGAGUGGGCACAAAACGACCUGGGUUGCUUGCCACCCAAAGCUUCCAAUACUGGUUACAAUGUUAGAUGACGGGACUGUAUGUUUGUGGGAUGCCAGUACAUACAGGCUUGAGAAAAUGGUUCACAUUACCAACAGCAAGUGUCGUGAUUUGGUAUUUGUCCAAGACACAAAUGGCCGACCCAGGCUCGUUAUCGCAUUUGAGACAAUGAUAGCAAUCAUGAAAGUUAAUUUGCCAAUUGCGAAUACAAGCAAUGCAAGUGGAUGA
This 2337-nucleotide ribosomal RNA is filed under the name Triticum aestivum (bread wheat). RNAcentral describes it as "partial small subunit ribosomal RNA". The record is from RNAcentral. Lineage: Eukaryota; Viridiplantae; Streptophyta; Magnoliopsida; Poales; Poaceae.